Molecule: long non-coding RNA, 881 nt
Filed under: Rhinopithecus bieti (black snub-nosed monkey)
Lineage: Eukaryota; Metazoa; Chordata; Mammalia; Primates; Cercopithecidae
Description: lncRNA (ENSRBIG00000045865.1)
Source: RNAcentral
UGUGACAUCAUUGUGACAGCAGUGUCUUGAAGAAACCCCACUGGUUCUAACUCCUGUCAGAGGCAAUGAAUGCCUAGAGUGUGUGUAUUAUAAUGGAACUGGGAGGAAAUGGUGCCACUUCUUUGAAACUUGUUAACAUGCAAAUGACAGAUGAAUCUUCCCAAAGGUAAGGCACUUACAAGAGAAUAUUUCAAUUACUCUCUUGGCCACUCCUCAUCACCCAUCAUACGAUCGUAUCUACUUCAUCAUUUUCCUUAGUGCCCAUAAAAAGACAUGCUGAAGGUGUAAAGGGAAUGUAAGAGAGAGCAAUAGCCUCUGAUGUGUUGGACUCAGCUCAGAUUUUCCCAUGCAAAAGAUCUGAUUUUCAGCUGGACUGCAACACCAUGCCAAGAUGCUGAGCUCUGGGUAUUACCCCAGACAGUGAUGCCACUUCACAAGGACACAGAUGUUAAAGCCCUUCUCAGAGAAUGUUCCAAGAGUAAAGCCGGUGAUGGACAGCCAAACAUUAAUCAGCAAAAAGGAGUUUGACCUAUAGAGCCAAGGAGAAGUUGGACAAAGAACAUGAAAAGGACAAGAUGCAAAUCCAAUCCAAUGAAUGGGAGCUCAAUGAGAAUCUUCAAAGGACCACAGUAUGCUGUACAAUUUUUUAUAAAUAUCAAAAGGGUAUUUUCAUUGAUUGAUUUUAUGGAUUUUAUAAAUAUGUUUCAUUGGUUAAUGGGAGCUAUCCAUAAAACGAAUAAUGAUCAUAUUUAAUCUAUUCUUUCCACUUCAAUUGAAUGUUAGAUAAAUAAAAUCACCAUUGAUUGGUGAGUUUAAGCAGGAUCUGUAAACAUUUUCAAAAGAAAAGAAAAGAGAGUCAUAGUUUAUUUUUUUCAGAAGCC